GUCUGGGAGAGGCCACGCGCCCCCGGGUCCAGGUGAGGCCACGCGCCCCUGGAUCCGGGUGAGGC
Non-coding RNA from Eptesicus fuscus (big brown bat), 65 nucleotides. RefSeq annotates it as microRNA mir-9279a-2. The record is from RefSeq and is marked provisional. NCBI's taxonomy places the organism in Eukaryota, Metazoa, Chordata, Mammalia, Chiroptera, Vespertilionidae.